GCCCUAAAGUGGGGGAUAACAUUUGGAAACAGAUGCUAAUACCGCAUAAAACCUAGCACCGCAUGGUGCAAGGUUGAAAGAUGGUUUCGGCUAUCACUUUAGGAUGGACCCGCGGUGCAUUAGUUAGUUGGUGAGGUAAAGGCUCACCAAGACCGUGAUGCAUAGCCGACCUGAGAGGGUAAUCGGCCACACUGGGACUGAGACACGGCCCAGACUCCUACGGGAGGCAGCAGUAGGGAAUCUUCCACAAUGGACGAAAGUCUGAUGGAGCAACGCCGCGUGAGUGAAGAAGGUUUUCGGAUCGUAAAACUCUGUUGUUGGAAAAGAACGUAUUUGAUAGUAACUGAUCAGGUAGUGACGGUAUCCAACCAGAAAGCCACGGCUAACUACGUGCCAGCAGCCGCGGUAAUACGUAGGUGGCAAGCGUUGUCCGGAUUUAUUGGGCGUAAAGCGAGCGCAGGCGGUUUCUUAAGUCUGAUGUGAAAGCCUUCGGCUCAACCGAAGAAGUGCAUCGGAAACUGGGAAACUUGAGUGCAGAAGAGGACAGUGGAACUCCAUGUGUAGCGGUGAAAUGCGUAAAUAUAUGGAAGAACACCAGUGGCGAAGGCGGCUGUCUGGUCUGUAACUGACGCUGAGGCUCGAAAGCAUGGGUAGCAAACAGGAUUAGAUACCCUGGUAGUCCAUGCCGUAAACGAUGAGUGCUAGGUGUUGGAGGGUUUCCGCCCUUCAGUGCCGCAGCUAACGCAUUAAGCACUCCGCCUGGGGAGUACGACCGCAAGGUUGAAACUCAAAGGAAUUGACGGGGGCCCGCACAAGCGGUGGAGCAUGUGGUUUAAUUCGAAGCAACGCGAAGAACCUUACCAGGUCUUGACAUCCUUUGACCACUCUAGAGAUAGAGCUUUCCCUUCGGGGACAAAGUGACAGGUGGUGCAUGGUUGU
Molecule: ribosomal RNA, 939 nt
Filed under: Latilactobacillus curvatus
Lineage: Bacteria; Bacillati; Bacillota; Bacilli; Lactobacillales; Lactobacillaceae
Description: bacterial SSU rRNA
Rfam family: Bacterial small subunit ribosomal RNA
Source: RNAcentral